This 301-nucleotide ribosomal RNA is filed under the name uncultured bacterium. RNAcentral describes it as "partial 16S ribosomal RNA". It matches the Rfam family "Bacterial small subunit ribosomal RNA", at positions 509 to 809 of the family's 1533-position model. The record is from RNAcentral.
CAGUAGCCGCGGUAAUACGUAGGUGGCAAGCGUUGUCCGGAAUUAUUGGGCGUAAAGGGCUCGCAGGCGGUUUCUUAAGUCUGAUGUGAAAGCCCCCGGCUCAACCGGGGAGGGUCAUUGGAAACUGGGAAACUUGAGUGCAGAAGAGGAGAGUGGAAUUCCACGUGUAGCGGUGAAAUGCGCAGAGAUGUGGAGGAACACCAGUGGCGAAGGCGACUCUCUGGUCUGUAACUGACGCUGAGGAGCGAAAGCGUGGGGAGCGAACAGGAUUAGAUACCCCAGUAGUCCCUGUCUCUUAUAA